CCUAGGCAGGUGGAGCAGUAAGGAGGGAAAUGUGGGGAUGACCGAGUUAAACAUUAAGUGCUGUGAGAGUUCAGGAAAAGACAGGGCUUUCUGGCUGAAGUCAUCAGAAAAGCCUGCACUGGGAAAAGGACUCAUGAGUGGUGUUUUAAGAAAGGAGAAACAAUGUGAGAACUGAAGAUCAAAUGGUUUCACUGGUGAAAGUACAGAAACACCCUCCACAGAAGCAACAUUCAAUAUUUCAUGGAAAAUAUGGAUUUCCCAGACACUGGACAUAUUGUUUUCUGAAACAUGAUUUGUGGAAACAGAGACCUGCCAUUAUAUUCCAAUGUGAAUGUCAACCAAAAGCAUCUCUGAAUAUGGAUCAUGCUGGCACCAGUGAAGACAGAUUUUCAGGAGGCCAGAUUGAAGUCAAGGAGAAUAGCACCAAUCCAGACACUAUAUAAUCAGGGUCUGCGUUGCAGCAAUACAGCAUGAAGAGGAUGUGUCAGAAUUAAAGCCUGUGCAACAGGUAAAAUCAUCCCAGGGAAUAAAGAAGAGGGAGAUGUAAAAACAGACUUUUGGGUAUCUGGCUUAGAAGAGAGUGCCAACAUCCAGGGCAGGGAAGGCAGGAGGGGGAGCCAUUUCUGGUGCAGCAGGGAAGUGGGGUGCAGUUUCAGACACUGGGCCUAAGAUGUCAGCCUUUGUGCCAAAUCAUGUCAUUAACAGAUUCCCCUCACCCAGUGCUUAAGUAUGGUACCAGAAUCAUAUCAAAGAUGUAGAUUUCAAGUGGGCAUUUAUGUAGUUACCCACUGACCACAGAUAUGGACAUCCAAACCAAGAGGAAGGGGAGGAGGGGGGAAAGGAAAGGAGGGGAAAUUAAUCAAAAUCACAAGAAUUUAAAGACACUGCUGAAACUCUCCAGGCUCUCAGAAAAAAAAAAGUGGGAAAAUAGAAAUGCACAAGACCUCUAGGGGAAAUGGAGAAUAAAAGAGUUAAAGCUAUUACAAGAAUUUAAAACUUUUGUUCAAAAUGGUUCUUUCUUAACC
Molecule: long non-coding RNA, 1025 nt
Filed under: Homo sapiens (human)
Lineage: Eukaryota; Metazoa; Chordata; Mammalia; Primates; Hominidae
Description: HSALNT0327334
Source: RNAcentral